GACGAACGCUGGCGGCGUGCUUAACACAUGCAAGUCGUGCGGUAAGGCCCUUUCGGGGGUCCACGAGUGGCGAACGGGUGAGUAACACGUGAGUAACCUGCCCACAACUUUGGGAUAACGCUAGGAAACUGGUGCUAAUACUGGAUAUGUGCUCCUGCUGCAUGGUGGGGGUUGGAAAGCUCCGGCGGUUGUGGAUGGACUCGCGGCCUAUCAGCUUGUUGGUGGGGUAGUGGCCUACCAAGGCGGCGACGGGUAGCCGGCCUGAGAGGGUGACCGGCCACAUUGGGACUGAGAUACGGCCCAGACUCCUACGGGAGGCAGCAGUGGGGAAUAUUGCACAAUGGGCGCAAGCCUGAUGCAGCAACGCCGCGUGCGGGAUGACGGCCUUCGGGUUGUAAACCGCUUUCAGCAGGGACGAAGCUUUUUGUGACGGUACCUGCAGAAGAAGCACCGGCUAACUACGUG
RNAcentral lists this ribosomal RNA (465 nucleotides) under uncultured bacterium. RNAcentral's name for it is "partial 16S ribosomal RNA". It matches the Rfam family "Bacterial small subunit ribosomal RNA", at positions 28 to 507 of the family's 1533-position model. The record is from RNAcentral.